This 397-nucleotide ribosomal RNA is filed under the name uncultured bacterium. RNAcentral describes it as "partial 16S ribosomal RNA". It matches the Rfam family "Bacterial small subunit ribosomal RNA", at positions 523 to 918 of the family's 1533-position model. The record is from RNAcentral.
AUACGUAGGGGGCGAGCGUUGUCCGGAAUGAUUGGGCGUAAAGGGCGCGUAGGCGGCCCGGUAAGUCUGGAGUGAAAGUCCUGUUUUUAAGAUGGGAAUUGCUUUGGAUACUGUCGGGCUUGAGUGCAGGAGAGGUAAGUGGAAUUCCCAGUGUAGCGGUGAAAUGCGUAGAGAUUGGGAGGAACACCAGUGGCGAAGGCGACUUACUGGACUGUAACUGACGCUGAGGCGCGAAAGUGUGGGGAGCAAACAGGAUUAGAUACCCUGGUAGUCCACACUGUAAACGAUGAAUGCUAGGUGUUGGGGGUGUCGACCCCUUCUGUGCCGCAGUCAACACAAUAAGCAUUCCGCCUGGGGAGUACGGCCGCAAGGUUGAAACUCAAAGGAAUUGACGGGG